Molecule: long non-coding RNA, 4702 nt
Filed under: Homo sapiens (human)
Lineage: Eukaryota; Metazoa; Chordata; Mammalia; Primates; Hominidae
Description: HSALNT0253389
Source: RNAcentral
CUUUAAAGGUUUGGAAAGAUUUGAUUACAUGGCAGGGAAAGUAAAAAUGUGGAUGAGAUAUCCUGACGCUCAGGCCACAUGACCAGGUGAUAAGGCGUUCAGAGACUGCCAGCGGCAGCUGCUGGCUCAGGUGCGGCCUGUGUGGGAGGACUCGUGUCUCGGUGGUUACAGAGAAGCUGGCUUCCACGGUGUGAACCCGACUGAAUCACAGGCCGCUUUUUUGUUCUCCCUCGGCCUUGGAGGGCCUGGGACGUUCCUGUUGCCCAACAUCCUGGUGAGCUGAGAACAUUCUGUAGAUUAAUUAGGUUCUCUCCUCUGGCUCAGCAGGUCUGUUCUAGCCAUUUGACCAAAGGCUCUCUGAUAUUUUCUACCAGCCUUAGAACGACAGUCUGCAGAUGUGUGCACAUAAAUGUCUGGGAGGAGCACACAGAUACUGUGGGAGGAGUGGGUCCGGCGUAGCUAUUGGGAGAUCUCGCUCGUACACAUGGCGCUACAUAGAAAGAAUGCCCUGAGGUGAAGGUGACAGCUCGGCAGUUUCUUAAUACCCUGAACUUGAGCGUGGCCUGCGCUAGAGAAAAUACACGGUGCUUCUUAAAAACAAAAGCCAGCAGCCUGCAAGAGGGCUGUGCCUGCGAGUUCCUGGGAGCAGGAGGGGGCUGUUCCUCCGCCCCUGGCUCCAGUUUCACCCAAGUCACUUCACAGCAGUUGGAAGGAGGUCACCAAUUGCUGCGGCCACACCAACAGACGUCGUCCGGCCUUCUUCACACGCAACGAAGCGCCCAGGUGGAAAUGCAUGUACCCGCGGCAGCUUCUCGGCAGCGGGCUUCCUGGGACGGAAGACACAGGCUCGCCCGAGGGAGACGGAAGCAGGGGAUCUGCUAGAACUCAGCUCGCCUCCUCCUUUCUCAGCAGGGCAGAGAAUCAUGGGCUUGUGCUGACGAAAGCUCCAGAAAAUGGACUCAUUUAACCUUUCCAAAGAUAUUAUCCAAGCUGCAAAAUCUUGGCAAUCUGAAGACCUUUUAAGUCGAUAUACCAAAGAGCUUUAGUCAGGAUUGAAUGCAAAAUGCCAAAAUUUCACUUUUAAAAUCAUCGUAACAUCUAAAUACAACCUAAGCACACUUGUAAACUGAUGCCGAACAGGCACUUGGAGAGCCCUCCCUGCACCCCUUCCUCGCCCCCUCCUUUGUGCAAAUGCUGUUUGCCCAGAACUUCAGCCACUGAAAAUCCUGGGAACUUUCUCUUCCUGGCUGCCAACCUAGCAGUUUGGACUCACAGACGAGAUUUUUAAAUCACUGAGGGAUUUAAGCCUCUCUGUGUCACAGAAAAGCGAACACCCUCCCAGUUGAAGGUGGCCCCAAAGAUGCGGGCCUGGGACCCAGGACUUCUGCAGGAGAGUGGACGCCUGGGUGCCCCCCGCCUUGCCCUGCACAUGAAUAACAGAGUACACCAGUCAUCAUAAGAAGAAAAAUUCACAUUUAAAGUUUGGAAAGCAACAGGACAAAGGUCUGUCUUCAGUGGUGCGUAGACAUGCUCGUGAUUGAAUUGGAAAUAGUUCUCUUUCCUUCUCUCUGACUUCCUAACUGAAAAGCUGCAGCGUGGGGAGAAAGGCUGCUCAGAAGCCUGGAGCCAGAACACGCACCCCGGCUUUUGCAGGGCCGGCUCACUUGGUUAGAAUCAAAGGAAAAGCCUUGUUAUUUGGGAAGCUGGGCGUCCUCACCAAAUUAGGGGAUUUAAUUUGCAGAUAUCUAAGGAGUGCUUUGAAAUGAAAGAUGAACUAAAAUCUGCUCUGAGGCCCGUGAUUUUUCACCAGUGAAGGACUCUCUUGCUGCUGGACAUACAUGAAAAGCAUCAUCUGAUCUGAAACGCAAGUCCCUGCAAGACAGAGGAGAGACUUUAUAAACAUUUUAUACCAUUCUAUGAAAUCAAUUCGAUUCAGGGCUAGAAUUCAAGAAGUAAUCCAUGGGCAAGUAUAUCUGAUGGUAAACCCAAACGAUUAUAUUGUUAACCUCUUGUACUUUUUUUAAUUUUUUAUUAUUUGAUAUUAUUAUCACAAAAGUCGCUGGAACAGGAUCCAUGAGCUGCUUCUUCACUGCUUAGUGUUUUCAGAAGCUGAUGGAUUAUUAAGCUCCAAUUGAAUACUUGAUUUCCAAUGAUUCCAUUAAUUUUUCUGGUUUGUGGUAGGAUUUGAUUUACUUAUUUUGUACUUUAACACACCAAUAAAAAAUAGAUACUAAGAAAUAGUGAAAUUUGUUGCUUCAAAAUAACCCUUAAAAUUUAGAGUUUAGUGAAAUUAAGCAAUUCAAAUAGAGAAACGAUUAUCCUUCAUUUCCUUAAGGCACAGAAAUUGAGACUAGGUUCAAGAACCUUCAUAUUUUAAAAACUGGAAAAUACUGGCUAAGUGAGGACUGGGCGGUCAUCCUCCACACAUGCUCUGUGUGCUUGGAGCGAAGAGGGGAACGCACUGAAUGAGAUGAACUGGAAGGAGGUGCAGCAGCGAAGGAAAUCCUUCUGUUGGGAGAGUUCACGUGUUUAGGAUAAUCCUUCGAAUAGGACGCAACAGUGAUGUGAGGAGAAGCUUUGGAGCUGAUUUAGAUUGAGACAGUCUAUCACAGGCUGUUUGGUUGCAUCCCUUUGGGGCCAGUCUCAUUUUAGGUCUAAAUAUGCAGGAAUGGGGCUCUGGCUUCCAGAAGUUUCAGGCUGCAAAAGGCUGGGGCCACCAUCUUUACAGAUAAUCCAUUAGUUUGAUUCUCUUGGGGGCCAGGAAGAAAACCAAGAACACUCAAUGGACUAUGGGACUCAAAUAAUCCACAGGAGGCGUUUGUAAAGGGGCAAAACUGUGUGUGCCCAGUAAUUCUUGGAGCUCGCAAUAGAGGUGGAGAAGCAGUGAUGGGCCCCACAGCAGCAGGGGCUUGGGAAUGACGGAAAAGAACAAAAUGAUGGAAGGACAGCUGGAAGAAACAGGGAAGCUUCCUUUUAACUGGAUGCUGGGUCUCAGCCUUGAAUAGUUCCUGGCCUUCGGAGGCCUUUUCUCAGGGAGCAUGGCCUGGGGACUCCCUGCUUGCUCUGCUGAGCUUUCAGGGAAGGAGAAAUGGGCAAGGCCAGAGGCGACCAUCAGGUGCUCCGUAGGCACAGAGGCAGAACUCAAGGUUUAGCUUUACCUUAAGAGGGUGACUGCAAAGUGUGCUCCCUGGACCAGGGGCCUCGGCCUCACCUGGGAGCUUGCUAAAAAUGCAAGUUGCUCUCACCCAGACUGAAUCUAAAAUUCUGGGUACAGCCCAGCAAUCUCUGCUCACACUUUCUCCAGAUGAUUCUGGUGCAAGCUAACCUUUCAAAAGUCCUGGGUCCCAUUCCCAGAGGCUGUGAUUAAGUUGGUCUAGGGCUGUGGCCUAGACCUGGGGAUUUUGGAAGCCCACAGGUGAUUCUGUUGUGCAGCCAUGGUUGGCAGGCUGUUCACGGUGCUGUUCAACAGGUCCUGCUGUGGGAUGGAAAGGGUCUGUAUCUGCACUGGCCAAUGUGGGAGCCAGCCCUGUGGCUAUUGAGCACUUGGCCCCUGGCUAGUGCAACUGAGGAGCUGAAUUUUUCAUUUCAUUUACUUUUAAUUAAGUUUAAAUAGCUAAAUGUGGCUAUUGUCUGCCUUAUUGGAUAGCAGAGUUCUAGAACCACAGAUAAAUGUAAUACUGUCCCUUUAGUUGAUUUAAAAAUCCAAUGCCUCUGUAAUCCUAGCACUUUGGGAGGCCAAGGUGGGCUGAUCACGAGGUCAAGAGAUCGAGACCAUUCUUGCCAACAUGGUGAAACCCCGUCUCUACUAAAAAUACAAAAAUUAGCCGGGCAUGGUGGCAGGCACCUGUAAUCCCAGCUACUCGGGAGGCUGAGGCAGGAGAAUCACUUGAACCCACGAGGCGGAGCUUGCAGUGAGCCAAGAUUGCACCACUGCACUCCAGCCUGGUGACAGACGGAGAUUCUGUCUCAAAAAAAAAUGCCUCACAGAGUUAAAUAUUUAAGUUGAUAAGAAAAAUGGUAGUCGAGUCUUUGAGGAUUAUUUUAAAAUCCACUUUUGGUGAUAAAUAGAUAAAAACAGUGUGGUAGGGCCCAGAAGUUCUUCCUGAUUUCUACCUGUUGGAGCUGAAUUCCUCAAUUUUACUUGUAGGAGAACGGCUUCCUAAAGGGCACCUUACCCAGCCAUUCCUGCAUGCAAGUGUGUAUGAGAACUGCAGGGGGCAUUAUAUGAAAAUCCAAUUCCUGGGCUCUAUCCCAGAUGUUCCUAUCCAAUAGGUCUGGGUUGGGGCCCUGGAAACUGCAUUUUUGGCAAACCCCUUACUGAUUUGGAUGCACAAGUUUCAAGGAACAGGCACUAAGGAUCGCUGAUGUAGAAUCUGUUUGUCCAUCCAGGAAAGCCAGAGUCACCACACUUGAGUAAAUGGGUUUUGAUGUAGGAAAGGUCUUUAUAAUUCUUUCAUGAAUUCACCAAACUUUAAAAACUGUACUAUUUUUGGCUGGGCUUGGUGGCUCACGCCUGUAAUCUCAGCACUUUGGGGGCCAAGGCGGGUGGAUCAUGAGGUCAGGAGAUCGAGACCAUCCUGGCUAACACGGUGAAAACCUGUCUCUACGAAAAAUACAAAAAAAAAAAAUUAGCCGGGCGUGGUGGCGGGUGCCUGUAGUCCCAGCUACUCAGGAGGCUGAGGCAGGAGAAUGGCGUGAACCC